Molecule: unclassified non-coding RNA, 269 nt
Filed under: plant metagenome
Description: partial contains small subunit ribosomal RNA, internal transcribed spacer 1, and 5.8S ribosomal RNA
Source: RNAcentral
UUUCCGUAGGUGAACCUGCGGAAGGAUCAUUAAUGAGUUGUCAUGGGGUUCGAUGCUGGCAGCCAAUUUUUGGAUGCAUGUGCUUGCCCUAACAAUCAUCUUCCAAACACCUGUGCACAUUUUUGAGGGAGUCUUGAGUUGGUUGCCGCUCUUGGGUGAUUUUCUCACAUUCCCUUAAAUCAUUAUACGCUUUUAACAAUGUUGAACGUGCUCUGUGCCGCAAGGCUAUUAAUAUAAUACAACUUUUAACAACGGAUCUCUUGGCUCUC